This 353-nucleotide ribosomal RNA is filed under the name uncultured Micrococcaceae bacterium. Its description in RNAcentral is "bacterial SSU rRNA". It matches the Rfam family "Bacterial small subunit ribosomal RNA", at positions 13 to 359 of the family's 1533-position model. Lineage: Bacteria; Bacillati; Actinomycetota; Actinomycetes; Micrococcales; Micrococcaceae. The record is from RNAcentral.
UUGAUCCUGGCUCAGUGACGAACGCUGGCGGCGUGCUUAACACAUGCAAGUCGAACGAGUGAAGCCUAGCUUGCUAGGUGGAUUAGUGGCGAACGGGUGAGUAAUACGUGAGUGACCUACCUUUGACUCUGGGAUAAGCCUGGGAAACUGGGUCUAAUACCGGAUACGACCAAUCUCCGCAUGGGGUGUUGGUGGAAAGCGUUAUGGAGUGGUUUUAGAUGGGCUCACGGCCUAUCAGCUUGUUGGUGAGGUAAUGGCUUACCAAGGCGACGACGGGUAGCCGGCCUGAGAGGGUGACCGGCCACACUGGGGCUGAGACACGGCCCAGACUCCUACGGGAGGCAGCAGAAGGG